CAAUAGCGUAUAUUAAAGUUGUUGCAGUUAGAAAGCUCGUAGUUGGAUUUCUGGUGGGAGCGAUCGGUCUGGCGCUUAGCGCGAGUACUUGCAUCGUCUCCGGCCAUCCUUGGGGAGAGUCUGUCUGGCAUUAGGUUGUCGGGCAGAGGAUCCUCAUCGUUUACUGUGAAAAAAUUAGAGUGUUCAAAGCAGGCUUAUGCCGUUGAAUAGAUUAGCAUGGAAUAAUAAGAUAGGACUUUGGUACUAUUUUGUUGGUUUGCGCACCAAAGUAAUGAUUAAUAGGGGCAGUUGGGGGUAUUCGUAUUCCGUUGUCAGAGGUGAAAUUCUUGGAUUUACGGAAGACGAACUACUGCGAAAGCAUUUACCAAGGAUGUUUUCAUUAA
RNAcentral lists this ribosomal RNA (383 nucleotides) under uncultured eukaryote. Its description in RNAcentral is "partial 18S ribosomal RNA". It matches the Rfam family "Eukaryotic small subunit ribosomal RNA", at positions 592 to 976 of the family's 1831-position model. The record is from RNAcentral.